GGCUCAGGAUGAACGCUAGCUACAGGCUUAACACAUGCAAGUCGAGGGGCAGCAUGACGAUAGCUUGCUAUUGUUGAUGGCGACCGGCGCACGGGUGAGUAACGCGUAUCCAACCUUCCCGUUGCUAGGGGAUAACCUUGCGAAAGUAAGACUAAUACCCUAUGAAGUUCUUCGCAGGCAUCUCCGAAAUACCAAAGGAGCAAUCCGCUGAAAGAUGGGCUCGCGUCUGAUUAGAUAGUUGGUGAGGUAACGGCCCACCAAGUCGACGAUCAGUAGCCGGACUGAGAGGUUGAACGGCCACAUUGGGACUGAGACACGGCCCAGACUCCUACGGGAGGCAGCAGUAGGGAAUAUUGCACAAUGGAGGAAACUCUGAUGCAGCCAUGCCGCGUGUGUGAAGAAGGCCUUCGGGUUGUAAAGCACUUUCGGAGGGGAGGAAGAAAAUGACGUUACCCUCAGAAGAAGCACCGGCUAACUCCGUG
RNAcentral lists this ribosomal RNA (482 nucleotides) under uncultured bacterium. RNAcentral's name for it is "bacterial SSU rRNA". It matches the Rfam family "Bacterial small subunit ribosomal RNA", at positions 21 to 507 of the family's 1533-position model. The record is from RNAcentral.